RNAcentral lists this ribosomal RNA (300 nucleotides) under uncultured Citrobacter sp. Its description in RNAcentral is "bacterial SSU rRNA". It matches the Rfam family "Bacterial small subunit ribosomal RNA", at positions 923 to 1214 of the family's 1533-position model. Lineage: Bacteria; Pseudomonadati; Pseudomonadota; Gammaproteobacteria; Enterobacterales; Enterobacteriaceae. The record is from RNAcentral.
CCCGCCCGGGCACAAGCGGUGGAGCAUGUGGUUUAAUUCGAUGCAACGCGAAGAACCUUACCUACUCUUGACAUCCAGAGAACUUAGCAGAGAUGCUUUGGUGCCUUCGGGAACUCUGAGACAGGUGCUGCAUGGCUGUCGUCAGCUCGUGUUGUGAAAUGUUGGGUUAAGUCCCGCAACGAGCGCAACCCUUAUCCUUUGUUGCCAGCGAUUCGGUCGGGAACUCAAAGGAGACUGCCAGUGAUAAACUGGAGGAAGGUGGGGAUGACGUCAAGUCAUCAUGGCCCUUACGAGUAGGGC